UACCAGCACCCCGAGUGGUCGGGACGAUUAUUGGGCCUAAAGCAUCCGUAGCCGGUCAUGCAAGUCUUCCGUUAAAUCCAGCCGCUCAACGGUUGGGCUGCGGAGGAUACUACGUGGCUAGGAGGCGGGAGAGGCAAGCGGUACUCAGUGGGUAGGGGUAAAAUCCUUUGAUCCAUUGAAGACCACCAGUGGCGAAGGCGGCUCACUGGACCGGUAUUGACGCUGAGGUGCGAAAGCGUGGGGAGCAAACAGG
This 253-nucleotide ribosomal RNA is filed under the name uncultured bacterium. Its description in RNAcentral is "partial 16S ribosomal RNA". It matches the Rfam family "Archaeal small subunit ribosomal RNA", at positions 474 to 727 of the family's 1478-position model. The record is from RNAcentral.